This 397-nucleotide ribosomal RNA is filed under the name uncultured bacterium. RNAcentral describes it as "bacterial SSU rRNA". It matches the Rfam family "Bacterial small subunit ribosomal RNA", at positions 521 to 916 of the family's 1533-position model. The record is from RNAcentral.
UAAUACGUAGGGUGCGAGCGUUAAUCGGAAUUACUGGGCGUAAAGGGUGCGCAGGCGGCCCCGCCAGUCAGACGUGAAAUCCCCGAGCUCAACUUGGGAAUGGCGUUUGAAACUACGGGGCUGGAGUGUGGCAGAGGGAGGUGGAAUUCCACGUGUAGCGGUGAAAUGCGUAGAGAUGUGGAGGAACACCAAUGGCGAAGGCAGCCUCCUGGGCCAACACUGACGCUCAUGCACGAAAGCGUGGGGAGCAAACAGGAUUAGAUACCCUGGUAGUCCACGCCCUAAACGAUGAUGACUAGUUGUUGGAGGAGUUAAAUCCUUUAGUAACGCAGCUAACGCGUGAAGUCAUCCGCCUGGGGAGUACGGUCGCAAGAUUAAAACUUAAAGGAAUUGACGG